GGGAGUUCUAGGGUAUCCCGGUCUUCAUGCUCCGGGAGGUCUUUUAAGAUCCUCACCAGCUGUUUUUGUUUUGUUUUCCCGGGAGUUCUUAGGGAUCCCGGUCUUCUGCCCCUGAGGUUUCUCUGCCACAGGGUCUUCGUAUUAUGUUUUUCCUUUUGAAAAGUGACAUUCAUAAUAGAAAUAACAUUAUCAUAUAAAGAAUGGCGUCAUUUUAUUCAGUUGUGUUUUUCAGGGUAUAAUAUUUUUCUUUACAAAUAUUUCAAGGGAAAUACCUCUUCAAGUGUUGGAUAUUCCAGGCAUGGGGCUCAGGGUUUCCCUGCAUAUCUUCAAUUCGGUAUACUCCCGGCCUGACCACUUUUGUUAUUCUGAAUGGGCCCUCCCAAGUCGGUGUCAACUUACCCAUUGCGACUCUUUUUCCCGUAGCCUCCAGGUUUCUCAAGGCUAUGUCUCCUACUUUCAAACUUCUUUCUCUGACUUUUUGGUUGUAAUAUCGUGCUGUCCGUUGUUGAUAAGCGGCAGUUCGGACUUGAGCUUCUUCCCUGAUUUCUUCGAGAGCAUCCAGGUUGCUUCUUAACUUGUCAUCAUUAGUGUUUUCACUAACGAAUUGGACUCGAUGAGUGGGGAUUUGCAGCUCCACUGGGACUACAGCCUCUGUGCCGUAGGCAAGUGCAAAAGGUGUUUCUUUGGUAGGCGUCCUG
RNAcentral lists this long non-coding RNA (698 nucleotides) under Manihot esculenta (cassava). RNAcentral's name for it is "long non-coding RNA (MESC_LNC010482)". Lineage: Eukaryota; Viridiplantae; Streptophyta; Magnoliopsida; Malpighiales; Euphorbiaceae. The record is from RNAcentral.